This is a long non-coding RNA of Strongylocentrotus purpuratus (purple sea urchin), 357 nucleotides long. RefSeq lists it as uncharacterized. The record is from RefSeq and is a predicted model, not a curated record. NCBI's taxonomy places the organism in Eukaryota, Metazoa, Echinodermata, Echinoidea, Camarodonta, Strongylocentrotidae. The transcript is spliced from 3 exons.
UCAAGUGGACAAUUCAACACUGCUUGGAGAAACACCUUGACGCUAAAUUGAUGUUCAAUGCGGUUUCCUAGAUUAAAUCACUACCAGACGUGUGAAGCUGUUCCGAGAAGAGUAAUUUUGAGGAAUUCAUCGUUAAUCAGUUGCUGAAGUGGCCUGGUGAACAGUGUGCAAGCUUUGUGUGCAUUUGGAAUAGGAGACACAUGGACACUGAAAGUGAUUUGGUCUGACUGUUUCCAUCUGGUUGCAGCGUAGUGCAUGCUGCAGUGAAGAAAAGGAUCCGGCAUUAGGCAAAUGUGACAACUUGUGUAUUUUUCAACAGGAAUCCCCUUCAGGUAUGUCGUUUGCUCAUCAGUGCCA